This 78-nucleotide transfer RNA is filed under the name Croceibacterium xixiisoli. Its description in RNAcentral is "tRNA-Ile". It matches the Rfam family "tRNA". Rfam says of the family: Transfer RNA (tRNA) molecules are approximately 80 nucleotides in length. Their secondary structure includes four short double-helical elements and three loops (D, anti-codon, and T loops). Lineage: Bacteria; Pseudomonadati; Pseudomonadota; Alphaproteobacteria; Sphingomonadales; Erythrobacteraceae. The record is from RNAcentral.
GGGCCGGUAGCUCAGUCUGGUUAGAGCGCACGCCUGAUAAGCGUGAGGUCGGAGGUUCAAGUCCUCCUCGGCCCACCA